UACGUAGGGGGGCUAGCGUUGUCCGGAAUCAUUGGGCGUAAAGCGCGUGUAGGCGGUUCGGUAAGUCUGCUGUGAAAGUCGGGGGCUCAACCCUCGGAUGCCGGUGGAUACUGCUGGGCUAGAGUCGGGAAGAGGCGAGUGGAAUUCCUGGUGUAGCGGUGAAAUGCGCAGAUAUCAGGAGGAACACCAAUGCGAAGGCAGCUCGCUGGGACGUACUGACGCUGAGGACGACGAAGCGUGGGGAGCAAACAGG
RNAcentral lists this ribosomal RNA (253 nucleotides) under uncultured bacterium. RNAcentral describes it as "partial 16S ribosomal RNA". It matches the Rfam family "Bacterial small subunit ribosomal RNA", at positions 524 to 776 of the family's 1533-position model. The record is from RNAcentral.